UACGUAGGUCCCGAGCGUCGUCCGGAUUUAUUGGGCGUAAAGCGAGCGCAGGUGGUUUAUUAAGUCUGGUGUAAAAGGCAGUGGCUCAACCAUUGUAUGCAUUGGAAACUGGUAGACUUGAGUGCAGGAGAGGAGAGUGGAAUUCCAUGUGUAGUGGUGAAAUGCGUAGAUAUAUGGAGGAACACCGGUGGCGAAAGCGGCUCUCUGGCCUGUAACUGACACUGAGGCUCGAAAGCGUGGGGAGCAAACAGG
Molecule: ribosomal RNA, 252 nt
Filed under: uncultured bacterium
Lineage: Bacteria
Description: partial 16S ribosomal RNA
Rfam family: Bacterial small subunit ribosomal RNA
Source: RNAcentral